UUGGUCAAUGGCCGAAAGGCUGAACCAGUAACUUGGAAGAAUGAUAAUGUUAACUUUGUAUCGGUGCAUUCGCGAUUAACUCGCAUAAAAUUCUAAAUAGAUUAGAUAUAAUGACAUAAUCUAUUUAUAAGUCUUGACCAAACUACGUGCCAGCAGUCGCGGUAAUACGUAGGAGGCUAGUGUUAGUUAUCUUUAUUGGGUUUAAAGGGUAAGUAGACGGUAAAUUAAACUCUAAACGAGUACUUUUUUACUAGAGUUAUAUGAGAGAAGGAAGAAUUUCUGGAGUAGAGAUAAAAUUUGAUGAUACCAGGAGGACUGUCAACGGCGAAGGCGUCCUUCUAUGUAAUAACUGACGUUGAGAGACGAAGGCUUGGGUAGCAAACAGGAUUAGAUACCCUAGUAGUCCAAGCAGACAAUGAUGAAUGUCAUACAUUAGAUAAAUAUAUUUAAUGUAUAAACGAAAGUGUAAGCAUUCCACCUCAAGAGUACUAUGGCAACAUAUAAACUGAAAUCAUUAGACCGUUUCUAAAACCAGUAGUGAAGUAU
This 546-nucleotide ribosomal RNA is filed under the name Penicillium commune. Its description in RNAcentral is "SSU rRNA". It matches the Rfam family "Bacterial small subunit ribosomal RNA", at positions 364 to 940 of the family's 1533-position model. Lineage: Eukaryota; Fungi; Ascomycota; Eurotiomycetes; Eurotiales; Aspergillaceae. The record is from RNAcentral.